UAGGGAAUCUUCGGCAAUGGACGAAAGCCUGACCGAGCAACGCCGCGUGAGUGAAGAAGGUUUUCGGAUCGUAAAACUCUGUUGUUAGAGAAGAACAAGGACGUUAGUAACUGAACGUCACCUGACGGUAUCUAACCAGAAAGCCACGGCUAACUACGUGCCAGCAGCCGCGGUAAUACGUAGGUGGCAAGCGUUGUCCGGAUUUAUUGGGCGUAAAGCGAGCGCAGGCGGUUUCUUAAGUCUGAUGUGAAAGCCCCCGGCUAAACCGGGGAGGGUCAUUAGAAACUGGGAGACUUGGGUGCAGAAGAGGAGAGUGGAAUUCCAUGUGUAGCGGUGAAAUGCGUAGAUAUAGGGAGGAACACCAGGGGCGAAGGCGGCUCUCUGGUCUGUAACUGACGCAAAGGCUCGAAAGCGUGGGGAGCAAACAGG
RNAcentral lists this ribosomal RNA (429 nucleotides) under Gemmatimonadota bacterium. RNAcentral's name for it is "Gemmatimonadetes bacterium partial 16S ribosomal RNA". It matches the Rfam family "Bacterial small subunit ribosomal RNA", at positions 355 to 776 of the family's 1533-position model. The record is from RNAcentral. Lineage: Bacteria; Pseudomonadati; Gemmatimonadota.